AGCAUAUUUAGCCUAAUGCACUUGCUGCCGAGCCAAUAGGUCUAUUGCAGGCAGAUCAGAAGUCAUAGAGAGACUCUCCUUUCAACACAAAAUUCACGACCCAUUAAACUUAUUCUGUGAUAACAGCUUCUUUACAAACGGAGACCCACAGAGAACAGAGUCUGUCAUGCACUUCCUGAAAGGAUUUACAUACAGAAGAGAAGUACAUUCGCGAGGUUAUUGCUAUUUCACUAGUAUUAUCUCCAAUCAAGGCAUAAAAGCAGCUCUGCUCUAGCUAACUGAGAACCAACAUCAGCAUUUCCGAACCCAGAUAUAUUCCCUCUUCAACAGCUGCUGAUUAUUGACUGAUUUGCCACUGCUCCUUUGUGAUGGAAGUGGAACUGACACUGAUGGGACCAUCCCCAAAGCUCAUCCACCCUUCAGGCUGUGGAGUACAUUGAAGCCAAGGACUGAGGAAUUAUGUGAGGGUGCUUCACUUGCUUAUGAACUCAAGACUUCCGUGCAUGUGGCUCAACAGUAAACAACUGCCAGGGCUAACACCUGCAGUUCAAGUACAAGAUGUCUGUGCUUCUGGGACCCCUAUGACACACCAUGAAGUUAACGUACAGAUCUGUACUUGGUGGAGGGAUGUCAUCAAGAUGGUUCUAUCAUUUUCCAGUCAGUGCUCUUGCUACAAGCUUACAUAAAGUCUUGCAAGCUGUUGGAAAUAAUAUUAUACCCUUCUGGUGUACCAUUGCCCGCUUCACUGCUGUCUGGGAGCCUACUUCAAGGUAUUGACAACCAUAUUUCUUGAUUUUCUUGACUUAGUUAAAAAGCUUCUUUUAACCACAAAAUUUGUUUUCCUAAUACAGAGCUAUAGGUUGACUAGUUUUUUCAAUUAAUUCCUUCUCAUGCUACAGCACUUGCCAGCUUGGUCCAGAAAACAGUGGAGUAGGGAGCACUACUUGCAAACAAAGUGAUACCAAUCUCUUGCUAUUUGGCCAGUGACCCCUCACGUCCCCAGGGAGGACGACUGGGUAGGCGUCCCUGAUGCCCACGGGACUCUGCUUCACAGGCCUGGAAAAGGGCAAUCAGUGCCAAUUGCUCAUUAACCUUCUCCACUCUUGCAAAUCUAUUGCCGUGCCUGGAUAUGAAAACAUCUUUAUGAGAGCAGAGCCAGGGAAAUGGAGGUGCAGGGUGUGGUGGGAAGGGUCACACAUCUUCAUCAGCAAGGAACUAAAGGAAAUGGAAGGAGGGGUGACAUUACAGGAUUUUAGUUUCCAUUAGCAUCACAAAAAUAACAUAUUCAGCAUAAAAGUAAUGUAUUUUCCAGGGGACCUAUUUACCUCUGAGACCAGAGUCUCUUCCUCCUGACAGUUAAACUAUGGAGAAAUAUCUCCCAGGAUUUAUCUUUGAUUUUAAGCAAUUAGUUUUUUACUGUUCAGGAUACCUCCGAACAAUUUU
Long non-coding RNA from Harpia harpyja (harpy eagle), 1443 nucleotides. RefSeq lists it as uncharacterized. The record is from RefSeq and is a predicted model, not a curated record. The transcript is spliced from 3 exons. Lineage: Eukaryota; Metazoa; Chordata; Aves; Accipitriformes; Accipitridae.